GGCCUCGUGGUCUAAUGGUUACGACACUAGCAUUCUCUGCGACGUGAAAUCCAGUAAGCUAGAGAUUGGGGGUUCGAGUCCCGCCGGGGCAG
Molecule: non-coding RNA, 92 nt
Organism: Mycena latifolia
Lineage: Eukaryota; Fungi; Basidiomycota; Agaricomycetes; Agaricales; Mycenaceae
Source: the annotation of a GenBank genome assembly